RNAcentral lists this unclassified non-coding RNA (21 nucleotides) under Mus musculus (house mouse). Its description in RNAcentral is "oocyte_clustered_small_RNA2349". The record is from RNAcentral. Lineage: Eukaryota; Metazoa; Chordata; Mammalia; Rodentia; Muridae.
UGCAGGGACUGCUUUUUAGGG